RNAcentral lists this ribosomal RNA (484 nucleotides) under uncultured bacterium. RNAcentral describes it as "partial 16S ribosomal RNA". It matches the Rfam family "Bacterial small subunit ribosomal RNA", at positions 30 to 507 of the family's 1533-position model. The record is from RNAcentral.
AUUGAACGCUGGCGGCAGGCCUAACACAUGCAAGUCGAGCGGAUGAAGGGAGCUUGCUCCUGGACUCAGCGGCGGACGGGUGAGUAAUGCCUAGGAAUCUGCCUGGUAGUGGGGGAUAACGUCCGGAAACGGGCGCUAAUACCGCAUACGUCCUGAGGGAGAAGGUGGGGGAUCUUCGGACCUCACGCUAUCAGAUGAGCCUAGGUCGGAUUAGCUAGUUGGUGGGGUAAAGGCCUACCAAGGCGACGAUCCGUAACUGGUCUGAGAGGAUGAUCAGUCACACUGGAACUGAGACACGGUCCAGACUCCUACGGGAGGCAGCAGUGGGGAAUAUUGGACAAUGGGCGAAAGCCUGAUCCAGCCAUGCCGCGUGUGUGAAGAAGGUCUUCGGAUUGUAAAGCACUUUAAGUUGGGAGGAAGGGCAGUAAGUUAAUACCUUGCUGUUUUGACGUUACCAACAGAAUAAGCACCGGCUAACUUCGUG